Long non-coding RNA from Leptinotarsa decemlineata (Colorado potato beetle), 1069 nucleotides. RefSeq lists it as uncharacterized. NCBI's taxonomy places the organism in Eukaryota, Metazoa, Arthropoda, Insecta, Coleoptera, Chrysomelidae. The record is from RefSeq and is a predicted model, not a curated record.
UUUGGGAAUGAUAAAAUGUACCAAGGGUGUUUCUGAAGGAAAAUCCUAUAUAAAAUCUAAUGAAUAGCAAUUCCCAAUUUCAACAAACUCUGCUCAAGACGGUCCUGAUAUAAGAUCGCAAGGAACACCGCAUAGCCUCGCUCUUCAGAAUCAUUUUUGUGAUUUGAAUUUUCUACUUUCCGUCGGCGUGCCAUCGAAAGAGAAAUUGGAUUCAAGUCGACUGUAAUUAUAGGAAGUUGUGAUAUUGCAUAUGACGUCCUUAUAUCCCGCGAGCAUCAAUUACCGAUUAUUAUAUAUUAGAGAUGGUGAAAAUUUCCAACAGUCGAUGAAGUUUUCUAUUUUGAACAAUGAAAUUUUGCUCAAUUCUCCCACCACUUUCGAAAUGAUACUGGAACUUACGUUAAUAGAUUGACGUUGAAAAUUUGUUUCGCCCAUUUAAAUGAUUUUGAAGUGAUGGUUAACACCCUGACAGCUAUUUUCAACAAACCUGGAAAAUUAUUUUAAGGUUGAAAAAUUAUUUAUCUUCAAGUUAAUCGAAAAAUGUAAUGUAGAACAUGACUGCAUAAAAACCGAUUCUACAAAAUUAUACUGUUGAACUUGUGGUGCCUGCCCUGUUUCAGAUCUUUGAAAUAUGUCAAGAAUUGAAAAACAACACAUCAAGUUAAUUCACAUCGUUGAAGAAAAAGUUGUCUAUGGUACCUAUUUUGACAUAUCUUCGAGAAAAAUGAGCGAGUGAGACACCAAUUUUUUAUGUUAUAAUAUGUUAUGUUAUAUGCAGAAGAAAUGAAGAGUCGGAAAAAUAACAAUCAUUUGAGGUUCAUUCCAAAUUUGCAUCAAUUCAGGUAACAUGAAUCUAUCAUAGAGGUAACAUUUUGCAUGUCUAGGCAUUAAAGAUUAUUUUUUCAAUCUUGCUCUAGGUGCAUACGCAUCCGACCAAAUAAAUACUCUGAUAACAACUUUGUACAGAAAACAAAGUAACUGUGAGUAAAUUUUUGCAGAACAUGUCAUAUAUUUGAGGUAGAUACUAAUGAAAAGUACAACAUCAUGACAGAGUCCUAUUGUGAGGAAA